This 288-nucleotide long non-coding RNA is filed under the name Dromaius novaehollandiae (emu). Its description in RNAcentral is "lncRNA (ENSDNVG00000007048.1)". The record is from RNAcentral. Lineage: Eukaryota; Metazoa; Chordata; Aves; Casuariiformes; Dromaiidae.
AUGCCCUAUCAUUGUACUGCCAAAAGGAAUGAAAGCCAGAAGCAGAGAAGAGACAAAAACAGGAAACUGGUGACAAUAUCUCACUGUAAGAGCAUAUUUCUGAGCUUAAAAGGAAGAGAUAGAUGAAUCAACUGUAACGGAAGUAGAAUUCUGGACAAAUUAUGUCUCAUACCUUACUGUUAUUAACUAUUGAAAGCUUGCAAAUGACUGAAUAAUAAGAUAUACUGUCCAUACAUUGCUGUGAGAUCACCUUGAGAAAACAAAUAAUAAAGUGAGUUUUUAUAUGCA